This 526-nucleotide ribosomal RNA is filed under the name uncultured eukaryote. RNAcentral's name for it is "SSU rRNA". It matches the Rfam family "Eukaryotic small subunit ribosomal RNA", at positions 101 to 630 of the family's 1831-position model. The record is from RNAcentral.
UUAAAUCAGUUCUCUUUUAUUUGAUAGUACCUUACUACUUGGAUAACCGUGGUAAUUCUAGAGCUAAUACAUGCUAAAAACCCCAACUUCGGGAGGGGUGUAUUUAUUAGAUAAAAAACCAAUGCCCUUCGGGGCUCCUUGGUGAUUCAUGAUAACUUCUCAGAUCGCAUGGCUUUACGCCGGCGACGGUUCAUUCAAAUUUCUGCCCUAUCAACUUUCGAUGGUAAGGUAUUGGCUUACCAUGGUUUCAACGGGUAACGGGGAAUUAGGGUUCGAUUCCGGAGAGGGAGCCUGAGAAACGGCUACCACAUCCAAGGAAGGCAGCAGGCGCGCAAAUUACCCAAUUCCGAUACGGAGAGGUAGUGACAAUAAAUACUGAUACAGGGCUCUUUUGGGUCUUGUAAUUGGAAUGAGUACAAUUUAAACCUCUUAACGAGGAACAAUUGGAGGGCAAGUCUGGUGCCAGCAGCCGCGGUAAUUCCAGCUCCAAUAGCGUAUAUUAAAGUUGUUGCAGUUAAAAAGCUCG